UCACUCCUACCUACUCCACUUCAAAAAUUAUACUGCCAAUUUAACUUUGAACUGCGGUCCAUAAACAUGUUUUUAAUCAAAUGCUCCAUUUUCCAUAAUGGAGACAAGAACUUCAUUGUAAGAUUCUUAUUUUUUAAUUAACAUUAUAAGAUUAUUAAUUUAUUUUGAAUAUAUCAUUAUUGGUGAACAGGAUUUGACAUUUUUUUAACUUUUUUGAAGGAUUUAACAAGAUACAGUCUUACAAUAAUGUUUAAUGUAUAUUAAGUCUUCAUUGCAUACAUUGUAUGAAGUCUUCCAUCAACAUUGUAAAUUUUGCACACGUUUGGUGUAUCUAAAAAAGUUAAUAAAAAUUAACAAUUUAUUUUAACUAUAUAUUCAUGAGACCCGUAGUUUUUAUCAACUUUUCAACCACAUAUUUAGUCAAGUUUUAUCAAAAUCUAAAUUUAGUUUAAGUCAAUGGCUCCUAAUUCGUCUUUUACAGAUACGAAUCACUAAAUCAGAGUUUAGUGUGUCUAGACUCAUAAAAAUAAAUUAGACAGUUCUUACUUUUCAGCCUUACUAAGAAUUCAUACCAAAAUAUCAAGCUUCCUAUAAAUGUUUGUUAUGAAAUUGGCAAGGGAAGCAAUACUAGUUGGAUCCAUUACAUCAAGUUGAUGAAACACAACAUUCUCAGAGAGACCAAAGCCUUUGAGCUUUUCUAAAUCUUCAUUUCCUCUCUUGUCAUCUAUGUAUUCAGUAGUACUACUGUUGGGACAAAAUCUCCAAGAAAGGUACCAAGAUCAACGGAGUGAGAUCAAGCAAUUUGGGUACUUGGGAAAAAAACUCUGAUGAUACCUUUCUAUUAAUAUGUAGAAAGUGUAAAGAAAUAAAACUAGUAUCAAAGCCUCUAAAAUUUGUGGCCUUAUAUAAUAUAGGAUUUGAGGCAAUGUCUCACCUGCCUAAGGGUUGAGCCACCUUUAAAUCAGGAUGUGAAGAUGAGUUCAAGAAAACAAAGGGUUCGCAGCCUAAACUUUCGACAUCAUGGAUAAUUUUCUUUUCUAAUACAUGGAUUUUAUUUUCAUUAAUCCAUAUAUACUUGGAACAAUGAAAUACUAUUACUUAUCCUCCAAGAGGUAAAUGAUUGAUUACAAAUGUCUAUUAUAUAUCUUCUAUAUAGAGGGAACAAAAUUGGAGUGCAUACCAAUACCUAAUAUGGGCAAAAAAAUAGAUCGAAAGAAGUAACUCUCAGAUCCAUAAUAAUAAUAAUAAUAAUAAUAAUAAUAAUAAUAAAGGAUUUUGGAGUGGUUUGACCGACCAAACUACGGUGGAA
RNAcentral lists this long non-coding RNA (1309 nucleotides) under Olea europaea subsp. europaea. Lineage: Eukaryota; Viridiplantae; Streptophyta; Magnoliopsida; Lamiales; Oleaceae. The record is from RNAcentral.